GAAAUGCGAUACGUAAUGUGAAUUGCAGAAUACCGUGAAUCAUCAAAACCUUGAACGCAAAUUGCACUCCUGGGACAUCCCUCGAGUACACCUGUCUGAGUGUCGUUUCCAAUCACCUCACCAAAUAACCUGGUGGAUGUUGAGCAUUGGUGGGCAGGACCCACCAUUGCUUCAAGUGCAGGGGUUCCUUGCGGGAUGGCAAGCGCACCCACACCGAUUGUUGAUUGCCCCAGGGCAUUCCCAUGAUCGGAUGAAGAUGAAAGCUGCAACCUGCUGGACCUUGGGAAGGAAGGGCCACGGCCCGCCUCCAAACUCCGACCUCAGAUCAGAUGAGAACACCCGCUGAACUUAA
Molecule: unclassified non-coding RNA, 352 nt
Filed under: uncultured Acaulospora
Lineage: Eukaryota; Fungi; Glomeromycota; Glomeromycetes; Diversisporales; Acaulosporaceae
Description: sequence contains ITS1
Rfam family: 5.8S ribosomal RNA (bases 1-105)
Source: RNAcentral